Long non-coding RNA from Austrofundulus limnaeus, 574 nucleotides. RefSeq lists it as uncharacterized. The transcript is spliced from 2 exons. Lineage: Eukaryota; Metazoa; Chordata; Actinopteri; Cyprinodontiformes; Rivulidae. The record is from RefSeq and is a predicted model, not a curated record.
GUUAGCUAUCAGAUGAUGAAUAAUGUUUGAUAAUUGAGAGGCUGUAAAGCAGCUUUGUACUGAGUUUCUAACAUCAGACCAUCAAUCUUUUGAAAGAUCUGCAUGACUGAAUCAGAAGUUGCCAACAUGGACCAGAUCGAAGACUCUAAAAGGAAUACAGAGGUGAUGGAGUGGGCGGAGGUGUUUUCCAUCACCCAAAAGAUGAUGGUGGAACUGGGUGAUGCUUCCACCCCUCCUCUAAACCCUUCAUCCUCUCCUCCUCUUGACCCUGCUGAGUCUGACCCAAGCCCCCUCCCUCAGACAGAGUGGAUGCAUAAUGGAGCGUACAGUGGGUGCACUCCUAUGGGAGCUGCUCCCGAUAUCCCAUCAGUUGUUCCACGCAGCCUGCAGGAGACUCACCUGAACAGCACAGCAGGUGCUCAUGGACAGGAACAGAGAUGGGGACAUGGACAGGAAGAGCUACAGAGUGAGGACCGUCAUAUGAUUUUAGCAAACAAGGUGAGGACAUUUUCCUGGGACUGGUAUUCCCUACGUUGUGGGACAGUUUUUUUUUUUUUUUUUUUUUUUUUUUUUG